This 75-nucleotide transfer RNA is filed under the name Acidaminococcus sp. AM05-11. RNAcentral describes it as "tRNA-Arg". It matches the Rfam family "tRNA". From Rfam's summary of the family: Transfer RNA (tRNA) molecules are approximately 80 nucleotides in length. Their secondary structure includes four short double-helical elements and three loops (D, anti-codon, and T loops). Lineage: Bacteria; Bacillati; Bacillota; Negativicutes; Acidaminococcales; Acidaminococcaceae. RNAcentral also lists the same sequence under 1 other name. The record is from RNAcentral.
ACGCCUGUGGCUCAGUGGAUAGAGCAACGGCCUCCGGAGCCGUGUGCGGCGGUUCGAUUCCGCCCAGGCGUACCA